ACGUAGGGGGCGAGCGUUGUCCGGAUUUAUUGGGCGUAAAGAGCUCGUAGGCGGCUUGGUAAGUCGGCCGUGAAAACCAGAGGCUCAACCUCUGGAUGUCGGUCGAUACUGCUAUGGCUAGAGUCCGGUAGAGGAGAGUGGAAUUCCCGGUGUAGCGGUGAAAUGCGCAGAUAUCGGGAGGAACACCAGUAGCGAAGGCGGCUCUCUGGGCCGGAACUGACGCUGAGGAGCGAAAGCGUGGGUAGCAAACAGG
Molecule: ribosomal RNA, 253 nt
Filed under: uncultured bacterium
Lineage: Bacteria
Description: partial 16S ribosomal RNA
Rfam family: Bacterial small subunit ribosomal RNA
Source: RNAcentral